Molecule: ribosomal RNA, 350 nt
Filed under: uncultured soil bacterium
Lineage: Bacteria
Description: bacterial SSU rRNA
Rfam family: Bacterial small subunit ribosomal RNA
Source: RNAcentral
AGAACGAACGCUGGCGGCAUGCCUAAUACAUGCAAGUCGAACGAACUCUUCGGAGUUAGUGGCGCACGGGUGCGUAACGCGUGGGAAUCUGCCCCUUGGUUCGGAAUAACAGUUGGAAACGACUGCUAAUACCGGAUGAUGACGAAAGUCCAAAGAUUUAUCGCCAAGGGAUGAGCCCGCGUAGGAUUAGCUAGUUGGUGAGGUAAAGGCUCACCAAGGCGACGAUCUGUAGCGUGUUUGAGAGGACGACAGCCACACCUGGGACUGGAGACACGGCCCAGGACCUCGUACGGGACGCGAGGCAGGUCGGGGAAGUUUGGACUAAGUGGGGAAACCUGGACUACCGAGCC